CAACCCUCAAGCCCUGCUUGGUGUUGGAGAAGUAUGGCCUUGGCCGUACCCUCCGAAAAUUAGUGGCGGACUCUUCUAGAUUCCGGGCGCAGUAGAGAUGCGACGCCUUGGAGGUCUGGGUGGGCUCUGGCCGUUAAACUCCCCAUAUUUUAAA
RNAcentral lists this unclassified non-coding RNA (154 nucleotides) under uncultured Sordariales. Its description in RNAcentral is "sequence contains ITS2". Lineage: Eukaryota; Fungi; Ascomycota; Sordariomycetes; Sordariales. The record is from RNAcentral.